CCUCGAUCCUCCCCUUUCUUUCUUCUUCGUGCCGUCGGAGGCUUGCCGAAGACAAAGACCAUGGAGGCCAAGACCACAGCUAUUGGGGUUUUCUCAUCCCCUCCAAGGGUUCGUCGAUGUCAUGUGGGGCACCACGGAUACCAGGCCUGCAUGAGGACACCGAUGGUUGCGGCGAAGAAAGGAGAGGCAAAGGAGGUGGGGAACUAGAGGAGAAGGUGACA
Molecule: long non-coding RNA, 221 nt
Filed under: Elaeis guineensis (African oil palm)
Lineage: Eukaryota; Viridiplantae; Streptophyta; Magnoliopsida; Arecales; Arecaceae
Description: long non-coding RNA (EGUI_LNC033604)
Source: RNAcentral